UGAACGCUGGCGGCGUGCCUAAUACAUGCAAGUCGAGCGAACGGACGAGAAGCUUGCUUCUCUGAUGUUAGCGGCGGACGGGUGAGUAACACGUGGAUAACCUACCUAUAAGACUGGGAUAACUUCGGGAAACCGGAGCUAAUACCGGAUAAUAUUUUGAACCGCAUGGUUCAAAAGUGAAAGACGGUCUUGCUGUCACUUAUAGAUGGAUCCGCGCUGCAUUAGCUAGUUGGUAAGGUAACGGCUUACCAAGGCAACGAUGCAUAGCCGACCUGAGAGGGUGAUCGGCCACACUGGAACUGAGACACGGUCCAGACUCCUACGGGAGGCAGCAGUAGGGAAUCUUCCGCAAUGGGCGAAAGCCUGACGGAGCAACGCCGCGUGAGUGAUGAAGGUCUUCGGAUCGUAAAACUCUGUUAUUAGGGAAGAACAUAUGUGUAAGUAACUGUGCACAUCUUGACGGUACCUAAUCAGAAAGCCACGGCUAACUACGUGCCAGCAGCCGCGGUAAUACGUAGGUGGCAAGCGUUAUCCGGAAUUAUUGGGCGUAAAGCGCGCGUAGGCGGUUUUUUAAGUCUGAUGUGAAAGCCCACGGCUCAACCGUGGAGGGUCAUUGGAAACUGGAAAACUUGAGUGCAGAAGAGGAAAGUGGAAUUCCAUGUGUAGCGGUGAAAUGCGCAGAGAUAUGGAGGAACACCAGUGGCGAAGGCGACUUUCUGGUCUGUAACUGACGCUGAUGUGCGAAAGCGUGGGGAUCAAACAGGAUUAGAUACCCUGGUAGUCCACGCCGUAAACGAUGAGUGCUAAGUGUUAGGGGGUUUCCGCCCCUUAGUGCUGCAGCUAACGCAUUAAGCACCCCGCCUGGGGAGUACGACCGCAAGGUUGAAACUCAAAGGAAUUGACGGGGACCCGCACAAGCGGUGGAGCAUGUGGUUUAAUUCGAAGCAACGCGAAGAACCUUACCAAAUCUUGACAUCCUUUGACAACUCUAGAGAUAGAGCUUUCCCCUUCGGGGGACAAAGUGACAGGUGGUGCAUGGUUGUCGUCAGCUCGUGUCGUGAGAUGUUGGGUUAAGUCCCGCAACGAGCGCAACCCUUAAGCUUAGUUGCCAUCAUUAAGUUGGGCACUCUAAGUUGACUGCCGGUGACAAACCGGAGGAAGGUGGGGAUGACGUCAAAUCAUCAUGCCCCUUAUGAUCUGGGCUACACACGUGCUACAAUGGACAAUACAAAGGGCAGCGAAACCGCGAGGUCAAGCAAAUCCCAUAAAGUUGUUCUCAGUUCGGAUUGUAGUCUGCAACUCGACUACAUGAAGCUGGAAUCGCUAGUAAUCGUAGAUCAGCAUGCUACAAAGAAUACGUUCCCGGGUCU
RNAcentral lists this ribosomal RNA (1370 nucleotides) under uncultured bacterium. RNAcentral's name for it is "16S ribosomal RNA". It matches the Rfam family "Bacterial small subunit ribosomal RNA", at positions 30 to 1381 of the family's 1533-position model. The record is from RNAcentral.